Long non-coding RNA from Coregonus clupeaformis (lake whitefish), 363 nucleotides. RefSeq lists it as uncharacterized. The transcript is spliced from 3 exons. Lineage: Eukaryota; Metazoa; Chordata; Actinopteri; Salmoniformes; Salmonidae. The record is from RefSeq and is a predicted model, not a curated record.
UAUGGCGCCCCGUGAUACAGCGCGUAAACUUGUCUAUAGGAAGUACAUUUAUAAGGAAGUAUGGUUGAAGAAAAAUGUUUUGAGUGUCCAGAAGCCCAGAGCAGAGUCACCUACACCCAGCCGGGAACCUCUGAGACGUGGCAAAAUGUCUGAACAACAGAUGAAAAGCUCUGACUACCAGUUGGACUAUGAAAACGUUCAGGAUUCAGUUGAGACGAUGGAGGGGAUUGUCAGCGAGGGUGCUGUAAUGUUCACACACAACCCUCUGGGUCAAACUCUUCUGACAGUCCAACAAGACAUUAAGGCUAAACUGAAACACAAGUAUCAACACAUAUCUGAAGGAAUUGGACACCAUGGAAACCA